AGAGUUUGAUCAUGGCUCAGAAUGAACGUUGGCGGCGUGGAUUAGGCAUGCAAGUCGAACGUCGAACGGGCAACCUAGUAGGCGUGGCGAAAGGGGCAGUAACGCGUAGGCAACCUACCUCCGGGUCCGGGAUAACCGGUGGAAACACCGAGCAAUACUGGACGCCAUCCCGUAGCGGCAUCGCCGCGGGAUGAAAGAAUUUCGCCCGGGGAGGGGCUUAUGUCCUAUCAGCUAGUUGGUGAGGUAACGGCUCACCAAGGCGUCGACGGGUAGGGGGUGUGAGAGCACGACCCCCGCCACUGGCACUGAGACACUGGCCAGACUCCUACGGGAGGCUGCAGUCGAGAAUCUUCGGCAAUGGGCGAAAGCCUGACCGAGCAACGCCGCGUGGUGGAUGAAGGCCUUCGGGUUGUAAACACCUGUUGGGGGGGAACAACACUGAGUGAACCCCUGAGGAAGCACGGGCUAAGUUCGUGCCAGCCGCCGCGGUAAUUC
This 495-nucleotide ribosomal RNA is filed under the name uncultured bacterium. RNAcentral describes it as "partial 16S ribosomal RNA". It matches the Rfam family "Bacterial small subunit ribosomal RNA", at positions 8 to 526 of the family's 1533-position model. The record is from RNAcentral.